GGUCAUAGCUGAGUGGCAGAUCAUCUGCCUUGCAUGCAGAAGAUUCCAGGUUCAAUCCCCACUGGCAUCUCCA
Molecule: non-coding RNA, 73 nt
Organism: Podarcis lilfordi (Lilford's wall lizard)
Lineage: Eukaryota; Metazoa; Chordata; Lepidosauria; Squamata; Lacertidae
Source: the annotation of a GenBank genome assembly